UGAGUGGCUGGGAUUACAGGUGUGCGCCACCACCAGGGUGAUAUGUUAACAGGAUAUAGGAAAAAGGCUUCACUGUGCAAGACCUCUAAAUACCAAAACAGAGUCGAAACUGUGAAAUCUAUUUCAAUGCAUGAGAGCUCCUGUCGCUCCACAUCCUCAGCAGCACGUGGUGUUCGGUGUUCUGGAUUUUAGACAUUCUAAUAGGACUCAUUAGUUCUAACAGAUUUGUUUGUCAAUUCCUCAAGAUUUUCUACAUCUAAAAUCAUGUCAUCUGCAAAAAGAGCCCAGCUUCCCUGCUGAGGGAAGUGAGGAUAGCGUGCAAGAAGCCCCUGUCCCUGGAGAAAAGGAGAGCGGCUGGUCAAGGACACAGAUGAGGCCAUGCUUUCUGUAUCUUCCUACCAUUACACAGCUGGACCUGGGAUAGUCGGCUGGCCGCAAAGGCCUGGGUCAGCUCAUGAGGCACCCACUCAUGGAGCUUUUUCAUCCUUCCAAUUUGCUUCAAAUGCCAAACGACUGUAGAAUGG
Homo sapiens (human) is the source of this 524-nucleotide long non-coding RNA. RefSeq lists it as uncharacterized. Lineage: Eukaryota; Metazoa; Chordata; Mammalia; Primates; Hominidae. The transcript is spliced from 7 exons. The record is from RefSeq and is a predicted model, not a curated record.